Ailuropoda melanoleuca (giant panda) is the source of this 706-nucleotide long non-coding RNA. RefSeq lists it as uncharacterized. NCBI's taxonomy places the organism in Eukaryota, Metazoa, Chordata, Mammalia, Carnivora, Ursidae. The record is from RefSeq and is a predicted model, not a curated record. The transcript has 5 exons.
GGAGAGAAGGGAAAGAGAAAGACCAGGCAAAAUCCUUUCAUGGAGAUGAAAUGAUGGCUUGAAGACACUAUGAGAUGUUUGUCACCUCUGCCCUGCAUUUGGCUUCUGUCACUGAGUUGACCACCCUGCUUGCCUCUAUGCAUUGGAGAUUCCUGCUGAGUCUAAGAUUCGGUGGGAAUCUUCAGUACAAGUCCCGCAGAGAGACUGGAGUCAUCUCAAAAGAGAGGAUUUCCUGAAAAGCUGAAAACAUAUUCGUCGUACUCGAGGGCAGGCCUCCGUUGCACUGAGAGCGUAAAGCUGGCUGUGCCGAGGCCCACAGUGACCCCGCGGCACGAUAGUACGAGCGCAGAGAGAAGCGCAGCUUGCUCCAGUGACCCGAAGCUGGGCCAUCUAAUUCCGCACUGACUUGGUGCAGGGCGUGACUCGAGACGCCUGGCCCUGAACCCAAGACCUUGGUUAGAGCCCUACCGAACUCUUGCCAACUCAAGAACCCAAGAAGAGGCUACCACCAGUGGCCAGUGAACAGAAUCCUCCUCCCUGCCAGCAAAUCUGAAGACCUGGGUUCAAGUCCAGGAUCUGCUUUUUAUUAUCACUGUGGUCAUUGACAAGGUUUCUGUGCAGAUACUUAAGAGAACAACAUAUUUAAAGAUCAUCGUGGGGCGCCUGGCUGGUGCAGUCAGUUGAGUCACCAACUCUUGGGUUCGGC